RNAcentral lists this long non-coding RNA (376 nucleotides) under Lathyrus oleraceus (garden pea). RNAcentral describes it as "Pisum sativum (pea) long non-coding RNA (PSAT_LNC041318)". Lineage: Eukaryota; Viridiplantae; Streptophyta; Magnoliopsida; Fabales; Fabaceae. The record is from RNAcentral.
UGCCCCAGUUGGCUGUUCUGCUGAUUCUCGAGAUGCAGCUGAGUGAUCUUCUUUUCUUGCUCAAGAGGUCGGGAAAUCUCGUCAGGAAUCCCUUCAACAUCAUCUUCGUCCGCUUCGAAUACAGGGAUUUCAAAAUUGGGAGAUGACGUCCGAUCACUAUGUUCAAUGGGUUUGAGAAACAACCUGCAUAAAGAUUUAGAGAUGAAAAGCUUUUUGAAAAACAAACAAGACAAUCGUUAUGCAGAUGAAAAGGUUGCUUUUAUUCCUGUUUUUAAAGGUUUUUUGUGAUCACCAAUUUCAUGCAAAAAGCGAAAAGGGAAAACAAAUGGAAAAACAAAUGUUUAACAUGAAUUAUUUGAAUGAAAAUAUCAUUGCA